AUGCUAGUUGUACGAGUUUAGACUCGUAGCAUAUAGCUCAGUAACACGUGGCCAAACUACCCUACAGACCGCAAUAACCUCGGGAAACUGAGGCCAAUAGCGGAUAUAACUCUCAGGCUGGAGUGCCGAGAGUUAGAAACGUUCCGGCGCUGUAGGAUGUGGCUGCGGCCGAUUAGGUAGAUGGUGGGGUAACGGCCCACCAUGCCGAUAAUCGGUACGGGUUGUGAGAGCAAGAACCCGGAGACGGUAUCUGAGACAAGAUACCGGGCCCUACGGGGCGCAGCAGGCGCGAAACCUUUACACUGCACGACAGUGCGAUAGGGGGACUCCGAGUGCGAGGGCAUAUAGCCCUCGCUUUUCUGUACCGUAAGGUGGUACAGGAACAAGGACUGGGCAAGACCGGUGCCAGCCGCCGCGGUAAUACCGGCAGUCCAAGUGAUGGCCGAUAUUAUUGGGCCUAAAGCGUCCGUAGCCGGCCGGACAAGUCCGUUGGGAAAUCGACGCGCUCAACGCGUCGGCGUCCAGCGGAAACUGUCC
Molecule: ribosomal RNA, 537 nt
Filed under: uncultured Haloarcula sp.
Lineage: Archaea; Methanobacteriati; Methanobacteriota; Halobacteria; Halobacteriales; Haloarculaceae
Description: bacterial SSU rRNA
Rfam family: Archaeal small subunit ribosomal RNA
Source: RNAcentral